AAAUAUCUCAAGUAAGUUGUAAUCAGCAUCAAUUUGAAACAAAUCUGAAGUAGCCUAGUACUUGAUCUUAGUUUGGCUAAAUUUGGAUGCAAUGAGAUUACAAAACCUGACUAUUUUGUUACAAUAAACUCAAUGGUAUUGCAGCCACAAAUAGAACAGAACCUGACAGGAAAAGAAGCUCAUGCUGUUCAAAGCAAAGAAAAAAUGAUUGUGCCACUUGCUAAUCAGUUCAACAAAGAACAUGUAAAUAUUUCAGGAAAUUAAAAUCAAUCAGAAAAAUUAAGAAACUAACCUCAGAAAGUAAAUGCCUUCUCUAUUGC
This 320-nucleotide long non-coding RNA is filed under the name Panicum hallii. Its description in RNAcentral is "long non-coding RNA (PHAL_LNC000071)". Lineage: Eukaryota; Viridiplantae; Streptophyta; Magnoliopsida; Poales; Poaceae. The record is from RNAcentral.